Molecule: ribosomal RNA, 227 nt
Filed under: uncultured soil bacterium
Lineage: Bacteria
Description: partial 16S ribosomal RNA
Rfam family: Bacterial small subunit ribosomal RNA
Source: RNAcentral
AAGGAGACCGCCGGUGACAAACCGGAGGAAGGUGGGGAUGACGUCAAGUCAUCAUGGCCCUUACGGCCAGGGCUACACACGUACUACAAUGGUAGGGACAGAGGGCUGCAAGCCGGCGACGGUAAGCCAAUCCCAGAAACCCUAUCUCAGUCCGGAUUGGAGUCUGCAACUCGACUCCAUGAAGUGGAAUGGCUAGUAAUCGCAGAUCAGCAUUGCUGCGGUGAAUA